CUGAUUCGGACAAAUUACGUUUUGAAUUGCAAAAGCAAUUUUAUCCUUGAUAAUGCUUUCGAACAAUUUAGCAACCGUUGGGUUGGUCUUUAUAUUGCUUUCGAAGUUCCUGAUAUAUUUCUUACGAAGCGACUUAUCAAGAUUUUUAAACUCAG
Rhagoletis pomonella (apple maggot) is the source of this 155-nucleotide long non-coding RNA. RefSeq lists it as uncharacterized. Lineage: Eukaryota; Metazoa; Arthropoda; Insecta; Diptera; Tephritidae. The transcript is spliced from 3 exons. The record is from RefSeq and is a predicted model, not a curated record.